This 497-nucleotide ribosomal RNA is filed under the name uncultured bacterium. RNAcentral describes it as "partial 16S ribosomal RNA". It matches the Rfam family "Bacterial small subunit ribosomal RNA", at positions 28 to 507 of the family's 1533-position model. The record is from RNAcentral.
GAUGAACGCUGGCGGCGUGCCUAAUACAUGCAAGUCGAGCGAACGGACGAGAAGCUUGCUGCACUGAUGUUAGCGGCGGACGGGUGAGUAACACGUGGAUAACCUACCUAUUAGACUUGGAUAACUUCGGGAAACCGGAGCUAAUACCGGAUGAUAUUUUUAACCGCAUGGUUCAAAAGUGAAAGACGGUCUUGCUGUCACUUAUAGAUGGAUCCGCGCUGCAUUAGCUAGUUGGUAAGGUAACGGCUUACCAAGGCAACGAUGCAUAGCCGACCUGAGAGGGUGAUCGGCCACACUGGAACUGAGACACGGUCCAGACUCCUAGGGAAGGCAGCGGUAGGGAAGCUUGGGAGAUGGGCGGAAGCCUGACGGAGCAGCGCCGGGUGGGUGAUGCGGGGCUGCGGAUCGUAAGACUCUGUUAUUAGUGAAGACCAUUUGUGUAAGUAACGGUGCACAUCGUGACGGUACCUAGUCAGGAAGCCACGGCUAACUACGUG